GGAUUUUCUCUCUCCUCUUUUCUUGUGUUUUCCGGCCAGCCCACUCCCAAUUGAGCCUCCUAUCCCCCUAUUUUGGGUCCUCUGAAUCCAAAAAUGGCCUCCAAUCCCAGAAAUUCGAAGCGGUUUGCGAGAUAUGGGGAAGUGAACACCGGCCGAAACUUUCCGACCAAAUUCUGGCCACCUCCGGCGGAAUUGGGGUCGACGGAGACCGGAUUGGUGAUCCUCGUCCCACGAGCUUCGAUUCGGAGCACCGGUGAGUCGUGAAAUUGAUCCCGUGAUGGAUCGUAGGUUAAUUGCGUGCUCCAGGUCCAGGUUGGAGACGUUGAUUGUCCGGGGCGAGCCCGACGUCUCAGUUCGUUGCCGAAGGUUCAAGAAGUUUUUCUUCCCUUUUUCCUCUCUAUCUUGUAUUGUUUCCGUAUCUGUCAUUUUAUAAAUUCCGCAUGUUUCUGUAUAACGCUCUGUAUACUGUAUUGGACGUGUUGUUUUUAUUUAUGCACUGGGUUGCUGCUGUUGUUUUAUUUUUGAA
This is a long non-coding RNA of Ziziphus jujuba (common jujube), 526 nucleotides long. RefSeq lists it as uncharacterized. Lineage: Eukaryota; Viridiplantae; Streptophyta; Magnoliopsida; Rosales; Rhamnaceae. The record is from RefSeq and is a predicted model, not a curated record. The transcript has 3 exons.